UCAUCAUCAUCAUCACCUUCA
This 21-nucleotide microRNA is filed under the name Gossypium hirsutum (cotton). Its description in RNAcentral is "microRNA ghr-miR414c". Lineage: Eukaryota; Viridiplantae; Streptophyta; Magnoliopsida; Malvales; Malvaceae. The record is from RNAcentral.